RNAcentral lists this transfer RNA (63 nucleotides) under Lasiolabops cosmopolites. RNAcentral's name for it is "tRNA-His". The record is from RNAcentral. Lineage: Eukaryota; Metazoa; Arthropoda; Insecta; Hemiptera; Miridae.
AAUUGGGUAGUUUAUUAAGAAUUAUAACUUGUGGCGUUAUAGGUGAAUUAGUUUCCUCAAUUC